This is a non-coding RNA of Vicia faba (fava bean), 216 nucleotides long. Lineage: Eukaryota; Viridiplantae; Streptophyta; Magnoliopsida; Fabales; Fabaceae. The record is from the annotation of a GenBank genome assembly.
AUGAAACCUGUGUAUCCUCCAUAUUUAAAUUUCAGGCUUUGGAACAUAUGCUUUCUUCCUGUCAUGUGUAGAGAGCAUCCAGAGCCCAGUUGUUACAACUGGUGUUUCAACUUUGCUGUUAAAGAUAUCUGCAACAUAGAUGAUUUUAUCCUUUGGUACCCAUAUCUCUUUGGGUCCAUAAUUGUUAGAGUUUCCAAAAUUCUAUUUGAAUUUUAG